GUACCUGGUUGACGUAUGGUUUAUCUGAUGAAAGAACGAGAGUAGAUUAGCAUGGCCCCUGCACAAGAAUGACACGCAAAUUCGUGAAGACAUUAGUGGGCAU
Molecule: small nuclear RNA, 103 nt
Organism: Acomys russatus (golden spiny mouse)
Lineage: Eukaryota; Metazoa; Chordata; Mammalia; Rodentia; Muridae
Source: RefSeq, a predicted model, not a curated record